CAGAGGAGGGGACUCACUCACGUUUUUGAAAAUUGCCCUGGUGUCUCUAGGGUGAUGGUCACAUGUCUCUCUCUUUAUUCAGCAGGUUACUGUCAUGUUUGCUGAUGUCCCAUUAGCCAAAGCAAGUCACAGAGCAAAUUCAAUUUAAGAGAGCAGAAAUAGAUUAUAUCCCUUGAUUGAGGAGCCACACUUCAAAGGACCAUGAAUAUAAGAAGAGGAAUUAGAACAAUUUAUAAACUACCAUAGGUAGUCAUAUAAAAAGUAAAAUAAAUGUAAAAUCAAACGACAAAAAAACUGACUGAUAAAGGUUCAAUUUACAGAUUUUAUUACUGAAUAGGGGUGUAAAUUCCAAUAGUUUACUAGUGCAUUAAAAUCACAAUACAUUACAAGGUAAUCAAGAGAGAAAUUCCUUGAUUUCUAAUUUAGAUAAUUUGGGUGGAUUUUGGUACUGUUCUGGAAGACAAGGGCAAUUCAUGUUCAGACUAAAGAUCACCCAUUAUUGAUUCUUUGAAAGUACAUGUAGCGUGAAACAUGACUGCAAAGUGGUUCCUUUCAGUCUAUAAAAGAUGAAAAAAAAUAAUUUUAGGAGUGUCUGAGACCUUUAGCCUUGUCUAAGUAAUUGAAUUGGCCCUUUGGUCACCGGGUGGUUAGUUAUCUUGAGAUGUAAUUUAUUUAGAAAAGUAUUACUAGUGGAUUUAUGUGAUACUGAGUCUGAUAAAGAUCUUUCCUGGAAGUUGAAAAGCAUGCCUGCCAGAAUUUAUUUAGGUUUUAAUAAGUGAAUAAAUGAAGCCAGGGCUAUAGAGUGGGAACCACCUCUGGUCACCAAAUGGUCCAUGCCUUUUCUUUGUUUCACAAAUUUGAAUAAUUGUAGUUCUUCAUUUCAAUGUGCCUGUUCAUUUAAGAGGGAACCCUUAGGGCAUACUUGUUUGUUUGUUAGAUAAAACCAUCCUAAGACACAACACAGAGCAUACAGGCUGCAAUGCAAGCACAUAAAACCUGAGAUACCAGAUGGAAAAUGUCUUAGGCUUGUAGUUCUGAUUUGCUAAAAUAAAAAAAUAAAAUAUAAAUUAAAAAAAGCGCAGGGUGCGGGGGAUGGGGUGGUGGAUGUAGGGGCAAACAUUUAAAUUUUGCUUCUGUUGUUUUCCCCUGUUAAUACAGAAAUUUGAUGUUGGUAUCUUACAGAAAAUGAGCUUUUAAAAGCAAAUCUUCAGAGUUUAAAAAUCAUCCCACCCUCCUCGCAAAAAUCUGCAAUAUUAUUUUUCUUUAUAAAAUCGACCCAGCUGAAAUAUUUUCUGAUGAGUUUAAAUGCAUAUGAACUAGUGCUCUAGAGACUGUCUUAAUGGAGUACUUCAUUUUGUACUUUAUUGAAAUGUGUACUUUGAAAACAUUGGUGAAAUUUGCCAUUUCCCACCUGGCAUCAGCAACAGCUGGAGCCUGGCCCAUUUACGAUGGCCUACACUCACGCAGUACUAAUCUAAAGCAAAUGUCAUAUGAAAAGCUAUGUCCCUGCCCCUUCUCCUGUUAAAUGCAUCUAAGACAAAAGUAAGAGCAUAAUAUUUUAUUUAAGCUCAGCUAUUUUUCUUUUUCUCCUCUUCCCUUACCAUUUCUGUUGCUCUAAAACUAUUUCUCGUGGUCAUGCUCUUAACUGAGAUAUUUGUAGGGAAAUGAUUUGUUUUAAAUGAGCAGAUGGGCCAGACUUAAGACAAGCUGCUACAUUAAUAAACAUGUGUGGUACUUUAUCAGUAAAGGAGCCUAUUUUGACAUUUCUUCUGGAUGAUUUGUAUAGCCUAUCACUAUCACACCUGGUGCAGGGACAAUAAAUGGGCACUUAAUAGUCAAGCAGUGUGCGAACACCUUCCAUUAUAACUUCAUUAUGUCAGAUAUGAUCAUCUGUUACUGAAUGUCAGGCACUUAAUUUAUGAUCAGUUGCCCUAUGGAAUUAGUGACCAAACAAAUGAAUAGUCCAUUCGUGUAACUUUUGCUGUAAAUGUAUUUCUCCUAAUACCAACCCCCUUUUUUUAAGCACAUGGACUUAAUCUGAUAUCCUUUGGGAUUUUAAAACAUAAGAUGUUUUGUUUUAUAUUUGUGAAAUUUGAGAAGUGGGAAAAUGUGAAUAACAUAUGAUGUAAAAUUCCAUACUCAAUUAUGUUAAUGCCCGUAUCUGUUUAAAAUAAGCACAAUUCUUUAGUUUCGUUUACCAAUGAAUUUCAGUUUGAUUUUGGUAAAGUGACAAUGCUUUUUGGAAAAAAAAUAGAACUUCUCCCUAGAGAUCUGCUAUACAAUAAUGUGCAUAUAGUUAAUACUGUACUGUACACUUAAAGUUAAUUGAGGGUAAAUUUCAUGUUAUGUGUUUUUUACCACUUUUUUUAAAAAAAGAACUUCUCCAUUGGACAAUAUAAACAGGGUAUAGUUAGUUAACUGUGGCACUAUCAAAGCAAUAGGUACAAAAGACACAGUGAAAAGAGAAGCUUAGGUUUUUGAGAGAGGCACCAGGAGGAAUAAAGACAGCCAAGGAACUGGUACUUUGUAGGCUUUAAUAAUUAAUGUUCCUGGCUGGACAUGGUGGUUCAUGCCUAUAAUCUCAGCACUUUGGGAGGCCAUGGCAGGAGGAUCUCUUGAGACCAGGAGUUUGAGAUUGGCCAGGGCAACAUAACAAGUCUCCCAUCUCUACAAAAAAAAAAAUUUUUUUUUUUUUGAGACAGAUUCUACUCUGGCACCCAGGCUUGAGUGUGGUGGCACCAUCAUGGCUCACUGCAGACUUGACCUUCCAGGUUCAAGCAAUCCUCCUACCUCUGCCUCCCAAGCUAGGACUACAAGCACAUGUGCCAUCAUGCCCAGCUAAUUUUUCUUUUUUUGUAGAGGCAGGGUUUUGCCAUGUUGCCCAGGCUUCUACAAAAAUUUCUUUAAAAUUAGCCUAGCUACUCAGGAGGCUAAGGCAGAAGGAUUGCUUGAGCUCAGGAAGGUGAGCUGCAGUGAGCUAACUCCACAACUCUAUACUCCAGCCUGGGCAACAGAGUGAGAUGAGACCUUCUCUCUAAACAAACAAACAAAACAAACAGACAAAAAAGAAGUAAUGUUCCCUGCUGGCAUCUGCAGAACCUUUUUACCCUCUUCUUUGGACAUAACAACAUGCCAUCAGAACUCCACCAUGUCUAUAUUCAAGAUCAUUAUUAGAGAAAUCCUUAGACUCUCAAUUGAAGUUACUAUCUAUGAAAAGAUUCUUUCAGAGAUGUCUAGCCUAUUUUCUAAUGAGGACCUUAGAACUGGGGCAGUGAUAAGACCAACUGUAGGGGGAAAGAAGUCUCAAAGCCUGUUUAAGAAUCAAUUAAACUAUUUGACCAGCCAGAUUAGUAGGAAACCGAAUGCUACAGAAUAGGAAAAUAUUAACAAACUGUUAAUAGAGAAGGAUGGUAUGAGAAUUAAUCUACAAUAGACAUAUUAGAAUUGUCUUAAGCUAUUUGAAGGGCUAGAGAUGCCAAAAAGGAGAUCGUGUCUGUGUCAUAAUAUUAUUGACCUAGCUUUAUUCCUCCUAGUUCUAGCUUUAUUAUUUUGUUUUAUUUUAUUAUUUUAUUUUUUGAGACAGUCUUGCUGUGUGCCCAGGCUGGAUGCAGUGGCGCCAUCUUGGUUCACUGCAACCUCUGCCUCCUGGGUUCAAGCAAUCCUCGUGCCUCAGCCACCCAAAUAGCUGGGAUUACAGGCACCUGCCACCACACCCGGCUAAUUUUUGUAUUUCUAGUAGAGACAGGAUUUCACCGUGUUGGCCAGGCUGGUCUCAAAUGCCUGACCUCAAGGGAUCCACCCACCUCUGCCUCCCAAAGUGCUGGGAUUACAGGCGUGAGCCACCACACCCGGCCUAGCUUUGUCAUUUUAAAUAACAAUUAAGAGAGGGAGAAUUUUGAUUCUGACAACUUUCAUAGUAUCAUUGUCAUGACCGAUGGCACUCACACUGGAAACAAGGUGAUAGAAAGUCAUUAACUUCUCUGCCAGGCCUAUAGGCUUAAAGAAACCAUGCAUUUUGGAGAUGUCUUCAACAGCUAAAAAACGUCAUGAAGAUGAAGAAAGGAAAAGAUGCUAAGUAAAAAAAAAAAAAAAAAAAAAAAAAAAAAAAAGAUGCUAAGUGGGGGAUAACCAGGAGUGAAGCAGGGGAGGUGGGGUAGGUAUUCCUAACAUUCUAAAUUUAAAAGCCCUGGUACUGUGAAAGAAUGCACCUGGCCAACCUGGUGAAACCCGUCUCUACUAAAAAUGCAAAACUUAGCUAGGCAUGGUGGUGGACACCUGUAAUCCCAGCUACUCGGGAGGCUGAAGCAGGAGAAUCACUUGAACCCAGGAGGCGGAGGUUCCAGUGAGCCAAGAUCAUGCCAUUGCACUCCAGCCUGGGUGACAAAGCGAGACUGCAUCUCAAAAAAAAAAAAAAAAAAAAAAAAAAAAAAUAUAUAUAUAUAUAUAUAUAUUUACUUUAUUCACCCCAGAAAAAGAGGGAAAAGACUGACUAAAACGAAUAAUCGUAAUAACCUCAUUGUUUUGUAGUUUGAACAUCACUGCUUGAAAGAUCCUAACUGAUAAACUCUCACAUUCAUUGCAACUGUCUUGCCUUAAUGCAGACUCUGUUCAUCUUUUCUUUGUCUUUUUCCAACAGACUCAAGCUACUUUCACUGCUUUUGGACUGCUUCCUUCUUCUUUGACCAGCUCCCUCACUCCCUUCUGCUACUGUGUA
This 4714-nucleotide long non-coding RNA is filed under the name Homo sapiens (human). RNAcentral describes it as "non-protein coding lnc-POLR2B-15:1". Lineage: Eukaryota; Metazoa; Chordata; Mammalia; Primates; Hominidae. The record is from RNAcentral.